RNAcentral lists this unclassified non-coding RNA (541 nucleotides) under Sarocladium subulatum. RNAcentral's name for it is "sequence contains 18S rRNA gene, ITS1, 5.8S rRNA gene and ITS2". The stretch from base 169 to 322 matches the Rfam family "5.8S ribosomal RNA". Lineage: Eukaryota; Fungi; Ascomycota; Sordariomycetes; Hypocreales; Sarocladiaceae. The record is from RNAcentral.
UACCAGAGUGCCUUUUGGCUCUCCAACCCACUGUGAACAUACCUACGUUUCCCUCGGCGGGCUCAGCGCGCGGCGGUACUCCCGCCACGCGUCCGCCGAGGGCACCCAAACUCGAAUUUACUACGUGUAUCUCUGAGGGGCGAAAGCCCGUAAAACAAAAUGAAUCAAAACUUUCAACAACGGAUCUCUUGGCUCUGGCAUCGAUGAAGAACGCAGCGAAAUGCGAUAAGUAAUGUGAAUUGCAGAAUUCAGUGAAUCAUCGAAUCUUUGAACGCACAUUGCGCCCGCCGGCACUCCGGCGGGCAUGCCUGUCCGAGCGUCAUUUCAACCCUCGGGCCCUCCCUUCGCGGGGAUCGGGCCCGGCGUUGGGGACCGGAGGCCGCUUCGGCGGCACCCGCCCCCUAAAUUCAGUGGCGGUCGCGCCGCAGCCUCCCCUGCGUAGUAGCACACCUCGCACCGGAGAGCGGCACGGCCACGCCUCGAAACCCCCCAAUUUAUCAAGGUUGACCUCGGAUCAGGUAGGAAUACCCGCUGAACUUAA